This 797-nucleotide ribosomal RNA is filed under the name uncultured Glomeromycotina. RNAcentral's name for it is "SSU rRNA". It matches the Rfam family "Eukaryotic small subunit ribosomal RNA", at positions 314 to 1114 of the family's 1831-position model. The record is from RNAcentral. Lineage: Eukaryota; Fungi; Glomeromycota.
AUCAACUUUCGAUGGUAGGAUAGAGGCCUACCAUGGUGGUAACGGGUAACGGGGUGUUAGGGCACGACACCGGAGAGGGAGCCUGAGAAACGGCUACCACAUCCAAGGAUGGCAGCAGGCGCACAAAUUACCCAAUCCCGACACGGGGAGGUAGUGACAAUAAAUAACAAUACGGGGUCCUUUGGGUCUCGUAAUUGGAAUGAGUACAAUUUAAAUCUCUUAACGAGGAACAAUUGGAGGGCAAGUCUGGUGCCAGCAGCCGCGGUAAUUCUAGCUCCAAUAGCGUAUAUUAAAGUUGUUGCAGUUAAAAAGCUCGUAGUUGAAUUUCGGGAUUAGUAGGUUGGUCGUGCCUCUGGUAUGUACUCGCCUUACUGGUUCCUCCUUCUUGAAGAACUGUAAUGCCAUUAAUUUGGUGUUGCAGGGAAACAGGACUGUUACUUUGAGAAAAUUAGAGCGUUUAAAGCAGGCCAUUGCCUGAAUACAUUAGCAUGGAAUAAUGAAAUAGGACGUUGAUCCUAUUUUGUUGGUUUCUAGGAUUGACGUAAUGAUUAAUAGGGAUAGUUGGGGGCAUUAGUAUUCAAUUGUCAGAGGUGAAAUUCUCGGAUUUAUUGAAGACUAACUACUGCGAAAGCAUUUGCCAAGGAUGUUUUCAUUAAUCAAGAACGAAAGUUAGGGGAUCGAAGACGAUCAGAUACCGUCGUAGUCUUAACCAUAAACUAUGCCGACUAGGGAUCGGAUGAUGUUAAUUUUUUAAUGACUCAUUCGGCGCCUUACGGGAAACCAAAGUGUUUGGGUUC